This 567-nucleotide long non-coding RNA is filed under the name Marmota monax (woodchuck). The record is from RNAcentral. Lineage: Eukaryota; Metazoa; Chordata; Mammalia; Rodentia; Sciuridae.
GCCCGGGGGAGCUACUCAUCAUAUCAUGGGGAACUAGAAUGUUCUUAGGUUCUGAGUUCCCUCUCCGCAUGAAAAUAUGGAAAAUUCCUCUCGUAUUCCCCAGACAGACACGUCCCUGCCAACCCCUCUGUCUCCGGGAGCCCAGGGGUACAGAUCUUGCUGGAGCUGCUACUGACCCACCCUUUCAUCCUCCUCUGCCCUCUGGUCAUCUGCUGUCCCCACACAGCCAGCCACCCACCACCUGCCCAUCCACCCAUCCAUCCAUCCAUAUCUACCUGCAUCCACCCAUCCACCCACCCCUCCUCCACCCAUUCAAUCCCCCAUCCACCCAUCAGUCCAUCUACCCGUCCAUCAUCCACCCACCCUAUGCACACAUCCACGCAUCCACCUGGCACCCAUCCAUUCACACAUCCACCACCCAUUCAACCACCCACCUCCCAUCCACCCACCUACCCAUACUCAUCCAUCUGCCCACCCCUCCAACGAUCCAUCUAUCCUUCCAUCCACUUGUUCACCCACCCAUCCACCCUCUUCCGCCCACCCAUCCUCCUGUCUCCCACCCUCUCG